RNAcentral lists this ribosomal RNA (492 nucleotides) under uncultured bacterium. RNAcentral describes it as "partial 16S ribosomal RNA". It matches the Rfam family "Bacterial small subunit ribosomal RNA", at positions 29 to 523 of the family's 1533-position model. The record is from RNAcentral.
AUUGAACGCUGGCGGCAGGCCUAACACAUGCAAGUCGAGCGAACCUAGCUUGCUAGGUGAGCGGCGAACGGGUGAGUAACACGUAGGAAUCUGCCCGAUAGUGGGGGACAACGUCUCGAAAGGGACGCUAAUACCGCAUACGCCCUAAGGGGGAAAGCAGGGGAUCUUCGGACCUUGCGCUAUCGGAUGAGCCUGCGUCGGAUUAGCCAGUUGGCGGGGUAAAGGCCCACCAAGGCGACGAUCCGUAGCUGGUCUGAGAGGAUGAUCAGCCACACCGGAACUGAGACACGGUCCGGACUCCUACGGGAGGCAGCGGUGGGGAAUAUUGGACAAUGGGGGCAACCCUGAUCCAGCCAUGCCGCGUGUGUGAAGAAGGCCUUCGGGUUGUAAAGCACUUUAAGCGGGGAGGAAAGUUCGCUGGCUAAUAUCCAGCGGAAUUGACGUUACCCGCAGAAUAAGCACCGGCUAACUCCGUGCCAGCAGCCGCCGUAA